This 21810-nucleotide long non-coding RNA is filed under the name Fragaria vesca (wild strawberry). RNAcentral describes it as "long non-coding RNA (FVES_LNC005626)". Lineage: Eukaryota; Viridiplantae; Streptophyta; Magnoliopsida; Rosales; Rosaceae. The record is from RNAcentral.
GAAGCUUUUGAUCUCUUUUGUUUGAAAGCCUUCAAUGAAGACGAGAUUGGAGAAGAUUUUCUUAAGCUAUCCAAUGAAUUUUUGAAAUAUGCUAAUGGCCUUCCAUUAGCUAUUAAAGUUUUGGGAUCAUCUGUUCGUGGUAGAAAUGUAAAGUUAAUAGUCAAGUGCAUUGAAGAGGCUUGAAAAAAAUCCUCAAAGGAUUAUUGAUGUUCUUAAAGUUAGUUAUGAUGGAUUAGAAGAAACAGAAAAGAAAACUUUUUUAGACAUUCACGUGUUUCUUUAAAGGAGUGAACAAGGAUCGUGUUAUAAGAAUACUAAAUGGUUGUGGCGAUGGUGUGGAGAUGGAUGUACAAGUUCUAAUUGAAAGAUCUUUGGUAACUCUAUUUGGAACAAAAUUGUGGAUGCACGAUUUGAUACAAGAAAUGGGUCGGGAAGUUGUUUUUCAAGAAUGCCGUGAAGAGCCUGGAAAACAAAGCAGGUUGUGGCUUCCCAAAGAUAUCAUACACGUACUUGGUCAGAGUAAGGUAAUGAAACAACUGAGUGCUUAAACUCACCUGUUAUUAUUUUUAUUAUGAACUAUCUUGUGCUAUAACUAGUUUUUUGCUAUUCAUUAGGCGACGAGUGCAGUUCAAAGCAUAUACCUCGAAUGUUCAACAGGAGACAAUGUUGUUCACUCCAUUGAUAAUGCCUUCUCAAAUAUGGACAGAUUGAGAUUGCUCAAGAUUUGGAAUUUGAAGUGUUCCGGAAACAUCAGAUAUAUUUCUAAUAAGUUACAGUAUCUUGAAUGGCAUGAGUGUCCUUUGGAUUCUUUCCCAUCAGACUUUCAACCGGAGAAACUUGUUGAAGUUCACAUGCCUUUUAGCCGCAUCAUACAACUAUGGAGGGGAACACAAGUGAGUUAAUAAUUAAUUUAUGCAUGUUCAUAAAGCUGACCGGCACUUCUUUAAAAAAGAAAGGAAGAAAAAAGCUGAUAAUUUGGUUUCUAUAUAUAUUGUCUCAUUUAUUAGGAAAAGGAUAUGACACGUGGUGUUCCAGGUACAAAUAAUAAUUUCCUGACGAAAAGAUUAAUGGUGUUUGUGAAUUACGUAACUAUACAUAAAAGUUAAUAUGGCUUUUAGACAUUAAUCUCACGUCAACCGUUUCUGUAAUUGUACUAUUUUCUGUAAUAAUGUGCAAUGAUUAUUUUAAAUCACAUGAUGAUCAUCUUUGAAAUUAUAUCAGGGAUGGAGCAUGCUACGGCAUUUAGAUCUGAGUGGUUCACCAUACUUGAUAUCAACUCCUGACUUCACUGAGGUUCCUUAUCUUGAAGAGUUGCUGUUUGAGAGUUGCACUGGAUUGGUGGUGGUCCACCCUUCCCUUGGAUUUCUGAAGAAACUUCGUCAUUUGGAUUUGCAAUUUUGCAAGUCUAUUGAGAGCCUUCCACCUCUCACUGCCUUGGAAUCCCUUCAAAUAUUGAAGCUUUCAUUCUGUUCCGGACUGAAGAAGUUUCCAGAAAUUGAAGGAAAUAUGAAAAGCUUGCUGGAGCUUCAUUUGGAUGGAACCAGCAUUGAGGAAUUGCCUCCAUCAAUUGAACAUUUGACUGCUCUUACCAUGUUGAAUCUAUCAAACUGUGGGAACCUUUUGCAUCUUCCUGACACCAUUGGGUGCUUGAAAUCGUUAAAAAGUCUAUCUCUAAAAGGUUGCUCCAAAAUUGAUGAGAUACCUGAGAAUCUGAAUGAUAUGAAAUGUCUGGAGAAGCUUUUCAUUGGUGAAACUUCCAUAAGAGAGUUAUCUAUCAUCGGAGGCAUGAAGAAUCUACAGUAUCUUUCCUGCAGAGGAUGUAAAUGUCUAGUUUUAGAAUCAUACAAAAGUCUGGCUUUGUUAUCAAGUUUGAUAGAGCUAGAUCUGAGUUAUUGCGAUCUGAUGGAUGGAGCAUUUCUCAAUGGUUUUAGCAGCCUGAUCUCCUUACGAGUGUUAGAACUAGGUGGUAAUUGUUUCGUGCGAUUACCUGAAAGUAUCUCUCAGCUCUCAAAGCUCGAGACUCUGGACUUGAGUGGUUGCAGACAGCUUCAAUUGCUGCCCAAUAAGUUUCCGUUAAGUCUUGAUCACGUGUAUGCACACAAUUGUACUUCACUGAGAGAUUACCCAAAUCAAAUCAAAGUAUUGUAUUCAUCAGAGUCAGGUGUGACUAUGGUCAAUUCCCUCGAUUCUUCAGCACCUAGAGUCUCACAAAGUUCCACAAGCUUUACUUUUCCAAGAAAUGCGGGGGAAUCAUUACAACUGCUUGUGACACAUAAGCAUACAGAGGGGAAACAAGUUGAUCAUGUGCCACUGACAAAUUUGAAUCAAGUGGUAUGACGAGUAUCUCUGUAAAAAGAGAACACAUUUAUAUGAAUCUAUCAAUUUUUUUCCCAUACCAUUAGUUAACAAAGCUUUUGUAUUUACGUUGCAGACAAAUUUUGCACCAGAUUUCUACAGCGCAAAUAUUAGCGAUCAAAUUCCAGAGUGGUUCAGCACUAUAUCUACUAGAAAUCCCAUAUCGAUCCCGAUAGCUCAAAAUCUGGCGGAUGAUAACAAGUGGAAGGGAUUUGCGGCGUGUGCUAUAUUUGCAGUCAAGGGGCAUACUGAACUCUCCCAUAUUGAACCAGAUCCUGAUUUUUCUAAUUACUCGUAUCAAAUCAUAUUGGAAACUGAUGUUCUGCGUCUGGAACAACAUGUGUUGAAACUGGAUUCAGGUCACUUUGGAUCAAGUUCUCAUCUGCUUGUGAUGUUCUGUAUAUCUAGUUUGAGGUUUCCACAGUGGGGGUUAAAUCAAUCCACUGUGGUGAGGGCUAUAUUCGAAACCACCAAUCCAUCCAUGGUGGUCCAGAAAUGUGGAAUUCGCCUAGUCUAUGAGAAAGAUGAUGGAUGGUAUUCCAGAAUAUCCGGGUGGAAGGAUGAGCCAAUUUGGCUUAAUCAAGUUGAAUUCGACUCUGUACGGGAAUCUGACUGGCUUAGGCAAUCUUUGAAACGGUAGGGUAUAUUUAAUUCAAUGCUCCACAACUAGUUAAUUGACGCUUUUGUAUUUCUUUAAUGUAUUUUCAAUUAUGUUGCAGGGAGAAGUUCAUUCCACCCUUUGAAGAAGAAUCUACACUUGUGCUGCGAAAGAACCUCGAGUCUGUUCUUCCAAGAUACCUUGAGGUCUAUCUGUCUGUAUUUCUCUCUAGCUAGUUUAUAUGAUAUCUCUCUAAUCUCUAAUGUCAAUCUAUCUCUGAAAUAAACGAGGUUACUAAUUAUUCAAAUUGCGCAUUUUCAAUAUUACAGGCAUUGAACAGUUAUUCUAAAAUAUACAAAUUUAACCUCAGAGGAAGUCCAGGGUGGUUUCACAAGUGGUUUACCCAUGGUACUGGUAGGAGGUCAAACUUGACCAGAGCGUUAAUUGAGCUGCCUCUGAAACUACAUAAGAAUAAGAAGUGGAUGGGAUUUGCAAUAUUUGCAUCACUUGUGGAGGAGGUGGGGCAGACAAAGAAAGAGGAUGACUAUGGUGUAUCAUUUACGCUGACAACUUGUGAUGUAUCUGCUCCAGUGUGCAGAGAACUUAAGCACGUCCGGCCAUUGUCAGAAGAACAUCAUCAACUCUUGGUUGCUUACAUACCGCGGGGACAGAUACCCGAAGAGUUGCUCAUUCAGACAUUAACAACUGCAAUGGAAUUUGACAUCAGGAUCGAUAGCCCUCAUGUAAAGGUUCAAAGAUGUGGGUUCCGUAUUGUGUACCAGGAAGAUACACAAGGCUUUGCUGACACAAUUAUCCGGUGCAUGCAGAGGGAAAAUUCUCUUGAAUCUCACAAUAUGUUGGUGGUAGAAGAAUGGAUGCAGUUGUUACGAUUACAAGGUGCCUAUUUCGAGAGAAGGAAAGAACGGAAAAAACAACUUGAGUUGCACUCACAUAUACCUAUAUAUAGAAAUUGGGUCUCUCUCUCUCGCACGCAUACAUGAUUUUUACUAUUUCUAUGAUUGAUUUUUUUUUUUUGUUCGUUUUUGACAUUGGAACUUAUAUUUGCAGGAAUGGUCUGACCCUCGUUGUGUAUAUUGUGUCUUUGAGAGAGUUGAAAUCUCCAAGUUGAAAUGGUUCAUGUCUUUCAUCAACCAAGGCAACUCUGCAGAAAUCCAACUGCCUCAGAAUUUGUUUGAUGAUGAUAAUUGGUUGGGUUUUGCUGUAUGUUUCCAGUUGUCCCCCGGCCAAUAUCCAAACAUUAGUCUUGGCAGUAGCGCUCCUGAUUCAGAGGAUGUUGUACUUAGUUACUGUCUGGAUUCUGAUGUUGCUUGGAAGAGUUUAUUUGAUUUCAAAAUGAAUCUAAGUUUAAAGAUUCGAGAGCCAUCGACAUGCGAUAUGACUUGGAUCCAUCACAUACCACGCGCUAAAUGUCGUAGUAAUAUGUGGAGGCAAUGCAAAUUGGCCAGGAUAACUAUCUGGUUGUCUAACCCAUGCUUAGCGGUGCAUAAUUGUGCCCUUCGUCUGCUAUUGAAGGAGGACGUUGAACAUCUUCUAGAAACUCUGACCCUCGCCGAAUCACCUUGAACAUCCCCGAGCUUCUGCUGCUCGGUCAUGGAGAAAGGUAACUUGUGAGUAGCCUUUUGACUUUGAUUAAUUUUGUAGGUCGCAAUAACUUCUCAUUUGGUUGAAGUUCUCAUGCAUUGACAGGACGCACAGAAGGCAAAGGUCUACAAGCAAGAGCUUCCUAAUGGAGAACGAGAUAAAAACGUUUUGUGAUAUUUUAUUAAGCUGAAUCAUUUUUGGUGCUCAAUUUGCGACAAUUUCCUUUCUGAUUGUCCUGGUGUGCUCCUGUAUUGUGAGAAGUAAAUGUUCAACUUAUUUGAAUCAAACUGAAAAUUAUAUAGAAUUGCGUGUUGGGAUUUUGGGUAGAGAAAGUUGUUCAUAAACACUAGUUGUAAGGUUCUCCACAUUGAUCAUAAUGAUUUAUCUUGCAAGUUCCAACUAUAAAUCUUCGUGUUUGCAAUUUGUUCAUUAGUUGCUUUAUAUGAAUACCUUGUUUGUUACGCUUCCGCAACUCGUGGUAGAAGGGCAUCAAAUUCCUCCUGCCUAGCUUGUUCGAUUUCUAGCUCAGCUACACAAGUAAAGCCAGAGUAGAGCUUUUGAUGGACACUAUAGCAAAGUAGCGCCAUCAAAAGGUUUUCUUCUUGACUAUCCCAGCUUUGGACCUGGUGAUCAUUUGAUGUGUACCUGCAUUAGCAGAAUGACGUGAUAACACAAGUUGAACAUUCUGCACAUUUGCGACGUAUUCUUUAGUCUCAUGAAGUCUAAUUGAGGUAGAGUACUGUUGGAUAGGAAAAAUGGCCUCCAGUUGUCCAGGGUAAGGACAAGCAACACAGUUACGUAGCCAUACAAAUAUUGCCCCAGUAUUUCUCAAAAUUUACAAACAAGACUCAAAAGGAGUAGCAGACUUAUAGAAUUGAAGAGGAAGGAGUAUGUGUGAGGGACAGAGAGGAGGAAGAGAUUGUGAGUGUAGACUGUAGAGAAUCGAUCAGAGUGAUCGGCUGUGGUGAGAUCCAGAGACUACAAUGUACAAUUCAAGCUUAAACCCAGAAUCAAAACCAUGAAAGCUGAAAUGCGAAACCAGCAUGCAGAUGAAGUCAUGGAAAUUUCUGGACUUGAAAAUGUACCAAAAGGUGGGACUCACCUCACCGGAGCGGUUAGUUGGUCGUUGGUGAGCCGGUGGGGGUUGGGAUGUCCACGUCGUUGUCUAAAGUCACAAGUUUAUCCGAUGUCCUGAGUUUAUGUCUUCUAAGACAAACGACAUGUCGCUCCAGAAGACAAACGACAAUCCUACAGGCAAGGAGGAGACUCGAUGAGCCUUUACUCCUUUAGGCGGAGCCAGGUGGCGUGGGCCAAAACGGGCUAAGGGGUCCACCUUUUAAAAAGACAGAAAAAAAAAAAAAAACACCCGACGGGGGCUCAAUUCUUGGAACGCGGAGAGGACGACCGAGAAUAAUGACUUCAAAGUCUUCAAAAGUUUGGGCUCCUGCGAAUCUCAGUAAACCCAGAUUGGGGUUACAUGCUUAGAACAAGUGAUGGCCUCCUACCCAGUCCGCCUUGUCCUCUUGUCUUGUAUUUGCCCUCUGGUUUUCUUCUCUGCUUUGUUUCUCUUCAGCUUUAUCUCUUCCGGGUUGUACCUCUUCUUCUUCUUCUCCAUUGUUUCUAUUUGCUGCUGCCUUUUGGCUUUCACUCUUUCCCAUAAACAGACACCCGCAACACCAGACACUUCUGCUUCAGCUACCACCAACACAGAAGUGAUUCCUUCUUCUUCGUCGUCGUCUUCUUCUCCACGGUCCGGUAAACUCACCUACGAUGUGUUCCUGAGUUUCAGAGGUGAAGAUACCCGCAAGAAUUUCACGGACCAUCUCUACACUGCUCUCUGGCAGAAAGGGAUACACACGUUUCGAGAUGAUGAAGAGCUUGUGAGGGGGGAAUCGAUUGCUCCCAAUCUCUUGAAAGCAAUCGAAGAAUCAAGAUAUGUCAUUGUUGUCUUCUCACCAAACUACGCCGAUUCUGCAUGGUGUUUGGAUGAGGUUGCCGAGGUCGCCGAUUGCAUGAAGGAAAUGGGAACAAAAGUCCUUCCAGUGUUCUACCAUGUUGAUCCGUCGGAGGUACGAAGACAAACAGGAGAGCACUUUGGGAAAGCAUUUGAGAAGCAUCAGAAGAGGUAUAAAAAGGAACCAAACAAAGUACAGAGGUGGAAAGACGCUCUUUUCCAAGUAGGCAAUCUCUCUGGAUGGCACCUGCAAGAUGGGUAAGCUUUCUGUCUAUCUAUAUUCUGUACUACAGUUGAUAAUUUUUAUAUGACCCUUUUUAUUACGCCAGUUGUNNNNNNNNNNNNNNNNNNNNCAGUGAUAGCCCUCAUGUAAAGGUUCAAAGAUAUGGUUUCCGUAUUGUGUACCAGGAAGAUAUACAAGGGUUUGCUGAUACGAUUAUCAGGUGUAUGCAGAGGGAUGAUUCUCUUAAAUCUUACGAUAAGUUGGUAGUAGAGAAAUGGAUGCAGUUGCUACGAUUGCAAGGUGCCCGUUUAGAGAGAAUGACCAAACGAGAUUCCAGAACCGCACAAGCAACCUUCAGAAAUUGGGUCUCUCUUUCUCUCUAAUUUAUUAUUAAUAUUCUUUUCUUCUUCUAUUUUCCCUAUCUAUAUAUUGACAUUUGAACUUAUAUUUACAGGACUGGUCUGACCCUCGUUCUGCUUAUUGUUUGUUCGAUAGAGUCUCGAAGUUGAAAUGGUUCGUGCCUUUCAUCAACCAAGGAAACUCUGCCGAAAUCCAACUGCCUCCGAAUGUGUUUGAUAAUCAUAAUUGGUUGGGGUUUGCUGUAUGUGUUCAGUGCUCCCGCUCUUCUUCUUCUUCAGAGGAUGUUGUGCUUGCUUAUCGACUGGACUCUGAUGUUGCUUGGCACGGCUUAUUUGAUUACAAGAUGCGAGCAGUUAUGAAGCUACCCGAGACACCUAAAGACGAAUUAUAUGAUGCGACUAUGUUCGUUUAUAUACCGCGCACUAAAGCUCUUAUGAGUAAGAUGUGGAGGCAAUGCAAAUUGGCCAGGAUAACUGUGUGGUUCUCCAACCCAUGUGCAGCAAUAGUGCAUACUUGUGCCCUUCGUCUACUAUUUAAGGACGACAUUGAACAUCUUGUUGAGACACUCACUGUUGCAUCUGACGAAAACCGUUAUUUCCUCGGUCUCACUGCUGUUUGAUAGGGGAAUUAGACAACAGUUCUCAGCCGUAGUGUGAAAGAGCAUCCGAUCGAUGACAAAUUGUGUCAUCUGAAGUACCAGUUUGGAAGGAUUCUUGAUCUUUAUGUUGUCUCAAUGCAGAAACAACGACACAUGAGCUGUCUUCAGCGCUCGCCAAGCACAUUUCUCCUCAUUUUGUGCUGUAUUUAUCCACUCUCAUAAUACAGUCAUAUGCAAAUUGAUCGAAGCAAAAUAAAGAUUUGUUUAAUCUAUAUGUCGUCUAAUGAGACACUUAUGUUGUCUGAUAGUGUUCAUUUAACUUCAAUCAGUCUGUUGUUGGAUAGGAUAACUUAUGUUGUUUGAUUGAUACUGUCUUUAGCCCUGGACCUUGAUAUUUUUUUGAAAUGCCAGCCCUGCCUGGCCUGAAAAUUUGAAGAAAAAUGGUUUGUGGCUCUGCCCCCCGGUUCGGGAGCGCAUUGGUUUUCUAGCUGAAUCACAGAAAUUGAGUGAACCACUGUAAAUCUUUAUUUGUUUGCUCCGCUUCUGCACAAUACGUGGUUGAAGAGCUUCAAGUUCCUCCAACAUAGCUUUUAGCAAAGUAAAGCGUCUGAAACUAUGAGAAGGUUUCAUAUCUUGACUUGAGAGCCUGCGAACGGACACCAACGAGUAUCAAAAUAUGAUCAUGACAAACUCUUAGUCAUGUAGCCAUACAAAUAUAGCCCUAGUAUUUCUCCUUUUUAUUACAAGAGAAAACUACACCAACAGUGCCUCAACUCUUAUGUCCCGGUUAGUUUGAUACCUAAACUUACAAAGCUGUCAAUGUAGUACCUAAACUUACGUUAUCCUCUUUGGCAUUCACCUAGAAAGAAAAUGCAUAAGUAUGUCAUGUACAAGUGAGAUUACAGAUGAAAAUAUUAAAUGAAGUGUAGAUAUGAAUAUGGAAGGUGUAGAAAAAACAUUGAGAAUUAAUCUAGUAUAAACAACCUUGGAUGAAAAGGGUCUAAUGAGUUCAAGUCUGAGAUUAUAAUGCUAACUACAGUCUCCCAGUUGGUUGGCCUUACAGACUAUUGAUUGAAGGGAAAUGAUAGGCUUAUUGUCUAUGAACAUUCGUCUCAAGGAAUUCCUAGUAGGCUUUGCUGCUUGUAUGAACUAAAACUCAAAACAUCUCCUUCAUCUUACAACAAGGUUUGAAUACCUACUAUGUUUAAUUGUUUACCCAACCAAAGUCAGCAACUUUAAUGAAAAUUCUGAGACCAGUACAAGUAACAUUUCCGGCUACAAUUGCAUAGGUAUUAAACCAAGCAAACAGAAGCUAAUGCUCAACUUUCUAUUUUCAAGUGGCUUAUAUCUUACUAUUUUCAAGUUAACAGAUACUUAACGAUUGUCAGGAAUAAUCACAGGCAAGAAUUCUAACCUACUGCAAUGCCAGACCUUAUAAAACAAGCCUUAUAUCUCCGACUCAAACUCAUUUACACCCUUAUCAGCCACCAUUUCCAUAAUCCAAUUCUGAUACAAAGUCCUUGUGACCAAAAUAGUUGGAUAUCUACCCAAUUGGAAUAUGACCGAACACAAACUACUGGGUCAGGCUUAUUCAACUAAAGCAAGUAUCUUGAACACAUCUGUCGUACCAAAACUAGGCUUAAUGUCAAACCCAUGACCACUUCCCCAAAAUCCCACAGAUGAAUUAAGCAACAGAUUCAUAAAAAUAAUCGAAAGCAUAGAGAGUGAGAUUGAUGGAAAGCGUACAUACUGGGGGAACAUAGCCUCGAGCAGCAGCGAGAUGAGAUUUGAAAGACAAGGCACGCCUGCUCCUGCUGCUGCUACGUAGGACCAUAGGGGAAUAGUUGGCCCCUGAAAACUCAAGAAGAGGUUGAGGUUUUGAGGAGAAAGAAGCAGAAAGUCGAGGAGGAGGUAUGACCAAGUAGUUGUUUGGAAUAAACAACGAAUUCGCCAUUACAGUUUGCUCUGCUUUUUACGAGUUUAACAAACUCUCCGCUUCUUCUAUCUCCGCCGAUACCUCACCCUCAGCGGACAAACUGAAAAAACUAUAAAUAAAUAAUUGGUGGGCCUAACCGGACUGGGCCCAAAGCGAGUAAAAGAAAAAAUAUAAAGAAAAAAAAUUCUAUGGGUUAGGCAGACACGUGCUACGUCUAGACGGUAACAAGUGUUACAAUCCUAAUGGGUCGGGGGUCCACCAUUAAAUAAGAAAAAGAAAAUAAAACUAAACUACAGCCCUGUGGGUGAGGCGGACACGUGCUACGUCUAGACGGUGACAGGUGUUAUGGGCCCAAACGGGCGAGGGGUCCACACCUUUUGAAAAUGAAGAGAAAUGAAAAAAAGUAAAGAUUGAAUCAGUUCUAAGUGUCAUGGGCUGAAAUCUUCCAAAUCACCGCCGCCGCCGUGACGGUCUACACCGGCGGAUCUCCGAUUUCACCUCGGUAAGGGUAACCUCACGCUCCGGCGGGUCUAUUAAGUGCUUGUGUUGCUGGCAUGUUGUGUGUCUGUGUUGCUUGCUGUUUUGUAGAUAUUGUACAUUUGAGUGAACAUUAUUCGAUUAAGUCGAGUGAGGUGUUAGUUGAUAGGUAAGCUUGUUCUUCUUCCACUUCUUUUCUAUGCAGUGCUGAAAUUGGUCUGCUCUUGAAAUACCACUUUAUUUCAGUUUGAAAUUUCAUCACAGUGAAAUCCUAAGUUAAGAUAGUAUAUCAGGAUUUUCAGUCCUAAAUUAGAACCAAUCAGUUAUUGAUCCUAAAUGUUUCACACUGAAAUUCUGCUCUAUCUCUUAUAUAUGUAUUCUACACUGGAUACUUUUUAGAAUGAACCUCUCUAUUCGAUCACCCCUCUUAAGCAUCUACUUGCACCUUACAGUUAGUUUUCUACAACUAGCAUCAUUCAUAAAAAUGUGACUUGCGUUUCUCACAUUGCAUUUCUGAUUCUUCUAAUUACAAAUUUAGAAUGAAGAAAAAGAUUGCUGUAUAUUAUGUUCCGUUAUCUUUAUUUACUUGUUGCCUCUUUUUCUAUAAUCUUCAUUAUCUGUAUCUACUUGUUCCUUUAACUUAAACAUAGAAGAUAUAUGAUGAUUAUUCAUGACUUUCCAGGAUCCAUAGUUAUUCAAGAAAUUUUAGAAAAGAGAUUUUCACCGAGCUACAUCAAAUAAUCUCAAUAUUUGAGGGUUCAGUUGGCAUAGAGGUUGUGGCUGGCCAAUGAAAUCUUCCAUGUUCUUGAUCAUAAUAAGGUAACAAGAUGCUAUAAAUAUAAAGUCCUGAUGGAACUAAUGUUCUGUUUUUCCACUAUGCAAUAUCUUGUGCAGUAGCUAAUUAAGUUUUGCUCUUUUUUGUUUACUAGGCAACGACUGCAGUUGAAAGCUUAUCCUUCCAACGAAUGACAAUGUGGUGCACAUACUUAAUGACUCCUUCUCAAAUAUGGACAGAUUACAAUUACUUAAAAUUGGAAAUGUGAAGUUUUGUGGAAACAUCAAUUCUCUUUCUCGUGAGUUGCAGUUUCUGCAAUGGCAUGAUUGUCCAUUUGAUUCUUUCCCAUCAGACUUUGCACCUGCUAAACUUGUUGAGCUUCAUCUGCAUUCAAGCCGCAUAAUACAUCUAUGGAGGGGGGAAAAGGUAAGACCUUAAUCAACAUCCAUGUUCAUACAUUCAAUAUUAGUACAUCCUAUUUUUUGGUAUUUAAGCUUUCAAGUUAACAUCAAGUACAAUGGGUGAUAUGUUAACAAACAAAUCAUACCACAUUCUCACCUUAGGAAAUAGAAGAAAUAAACAGUAGGAAAAAUGAAUUUUGCAGCUUAAAUUUUAGAUAUUAUAUAAGAUCCCUAGCUAGCUAGCUAGUCGUGGUUUAAGGCAUACCACUUGAUCAUUUUACUUGCAUGUCAAAUUUUCUCUAGUAUAACGUACAUUUUAUUGAUCAAUUGUUUUCAAUCUUAGACAUUAAUGGAUGUACUUAAAGUGCUUUAUUCGACAUCUUUGUUAAACCACCAAGCAAUUGACUGGAUUUUUUUUUUUUUCAAUCCAUCACUCAUAUUUGUCUUGUGUUUUAGAUAGAUAAAAAUUAUAUGCAGAAGGAUUGUAUAAUAAAUAUUAAAUCACAUGAUUAUGAUCAUCUUCUGAAAUGUACUAGGGGUGGAGUAUGCUACGGCAAAUUAAUUUGAGUGGUACACAACACUUGAUAUCUACUCCAGACUUCAGUGAGGUUCCUGAUUUUGAGAUGUUGGUGCUUCAGGAUUGUACAAGCUUGGUGGACAUUCACCCUUCUCUUGGAUUUCUGAAGAAACUCCACCAAUUAAAUAUGAGAAAUUGCAUGUCUGUUGAGAGCCUUCCAUCCUUCAAUAGAAAUUGGGUCUCUCUCUCAAACUUUUUUUUCUUUCUUUUACAAAGAGAUAUGCACAUACAUUACUCAUUUAUGCAUUCAUGACAUGUUUGAUUCCUAUUUGCAGGACUGGUCUGUGGAACCUCCUUUCGGUUGUUUUUUCUAUGGAAAUGAAAUCUCCAAGGGCAAAUGGUUCCAAAAUUUCAACGAGGGCAGCACUGCAGAAAUCCAACUACCUCUGAAUUUGUUUGAUAAUGCUACUUGGUUGGGAAUUGCUGUAUGUGCUUUUUGAGAUCCCAUGGACAUUCAGACAGCAAUCUUGACCCUCCUGAUUACAGUACAAUUUUAGGUGUUAUCUGGACUCCGAUCCUGCUUCCAGCUUAUGCUCAUUUGAUGUCAAAUUUCAGCAACUUGUCAGGACAGUAGAACCAUGGGAAUUUGUAUCCGAUUUCACUUGGUUCUCAUAUAUACCGCACAAUGGUGUGUUUUUUAAGUUCUGGAGGCCCUGCAAGCACUAGAAAUUCUGCCUGCUGAAUUUGGUACGGGUAUGUCCCUAGAACUUCAGCACGUCAAGCCAUUGUCAGAAGAACAUCAUCGAGAUUUGGGUUGUGUAUUGUGUUCCAGGACGACAUACAAGGGUCUGCUGAUACUAUUAUCCAGUGCAUGCAGAGGGAUAAUUCUCUUGAAUCUUACGAUAAGUUGGUGGUAGAAGAAUGGGUAAAGUUGAUACGAUUGGAAGGUGCCCAUUUAGAGAGAAUGACAGAAUGGGAUUCCAGAACCCCACGGGAAAGAUACUCUGAAUUGCACUCACGAAAAUAGAGAAAUUGGGUCUCUCUCGUCUCCCAUACAUGCAUAAUUAUAAUCAUUCAUAUUACUAUUCCUCUUUUUUUGCCCUUUUCUUUAACAUUUGAACCUAUAUUUACAGAAAUGGUCUGACCCUGUUUAUUGUGUCUUCAAAAGUGUUGAAAUCUCCAAGUUGAAAUGGUUUGUGCCUUUUAUCAACCAAGGGCAACUCUGCAUGUUAUCAGUUGUCCCGCAAGGCUGUGACCAAUAUCCUGAUUCAGAGGAUGUUAUGCUUAAUCACUGUCUGGACUCUUAUGCUGCUUGGCAUGCCAUAUUUGAUUUUCAGACGCAUGGAAGUUUUAGGAUACCCGAGUCAGGGGAAUACUAUGCGACUAGCUUCCUUUAUAUACCGCGCACUGAAGUUCUUACUUCUUAGUAAGAUGUGGAGGAAAUGCAAAUUGGCCAGGAUGUUGUUCUGUAGCCCAAGCUCAGCAGGUAGUGCAUAGUUGUGGUCUGUCUACUAUUUAAGGAGGACAUUGAACAUCUAGUUGAAACACUCGCCUUCCCGCAUUACCUUGAACAUCCACCAUGAUCGAAAAUGGUAACCUGUGAUAUUCAAAAAAAGAAGAAGAUGGUAACCUGUGAGCAGCCUUUUGGGUUUUGAUUAAGGCCAAGUUUGAGAUUGAUGUGUUGUGAGAAUAAUCACUUCUCAUAUUGGUUGAGAAGCUUCUUCUACCGAGAGAGAAAGUCUUCCGACCACAACCGUAUCCCCUCUUCAAAGUGCCUUUCUCCUUCAUGCAUUGGUUGACGGAGUCAAAAUUCACGGCUGACACAGCCGUUUCUGGUGUUUAAAAACUCUGGGCAGACUACUCAUCUUCUUCAUUCCAGGGUGACGUGGGGAAUCUCAGUAGCCCAAAUUGAGGUUUUGCAUGCUUCAAAAAAUGAUGGCCUCCUACCCAGUCCGGCUUCUCCUCUUCUCUUCCAUUUGCCCUCUGGUUUUCUUCUCUGCUUUGUUUCUCUUCAGCUUUAUCUCUUCCGGGUUGUACCUGUUCUUCUUCUUCUCCACUGUUUCUAUUUGCUGCUGCCUUUUGGCUUUCACUCUUUCCCAUAAACAGACACCCGCAACACCAGACACUUCUGCUUCAGCUACCACCAACACAGAAGUGAUUCCUUCUUCUUCUUCGUCGUCUUCUUCUCCACCAUCCUGUAAACUCACCUACGAUGUGUUCCUGAGUUUCAGAGGUGAAGAUACCCGCAAGAAUUUCACGGACCAUCUCUACACUGCUCUCUUGCAGAAAGGGAUACACACGUUUCGAGACGAUGAGGAACUUGUCAGGGGGGAAUCAAUUUCUCCUAAUCUGUUAAAAGCAAUUGAAGAAUCAAGAUAUGUCGAUUCUCACCAAACUAUGCCGAUUCUGCAUGGUGUUUGGAUGAGAUUUGCCAAGGUCACUGAUUGCAUGAAGGCCAUGGGAACAAAAGUUCUUCCAGUGUACUACCAUGUUGAUCCAUCGGAGGUACGAAGACAAACAGGAGAGCACUUUGGGAAAGCAUUUGAGAAGUAUCAGAAGAGGUAUAAAGCGGAACCAAACAAAGUACAGAGGUGGAAAGACUCUUUUUCAAGUGGGCAAUCUCUCUGGAUGGCACCUGCAAGAUGGGUAAGCUUUCUGUCUAUCUAUAUUCUGUAGUACAGUUGAUAAUUUUUUAAAUGACCCUUUUUAUUACACCAGUUGUUUCAUAUGAAUGUAAUUCAGAACUAGUGAAUCAUGCAGAGCUAAUUUAUACACCUGUCUCAAAAAUUAUAAUGUGUAGAACUAAAUCAAAUUAAAUUUUUAAUACUUCUACUUAGAAUUUCAGAAUGAACAAAUAGAUUGGCAUAAUAUAAUAUUUUGUAACUUUAUAUCUUAUACACAUAAUUUAAGUAAGAAUGAUUUUCUCUUUACUUUACAGGUCUGAAUCCAAAGUAAUUCAAGAAAUUGAAGAAAAGGUUUUCACUGAGAUGAAUAAAAUAAUCUCCACAUCUGAGGGCUUAGUUGGGAUGGAUUCUCACCUGAAUGAACUGUUUCCCUACUUAAACAUUGGGGGUCUCGAUGUUCGCAUCAUAGGGAUUUGUGGCAUGGGUGGUAUCGGGAAGACUACUAUUGCACAAGUGGUUUUUGAAAGUUUAAGAGCUCAGUUUGAAGGUGAUAGCUUUCUUGAGAAUGUUAAACAUGAAACUGAAGAGCAGGGUAGUACAAUUCAUUUACAAGAGAAACUUCUCUUGAACUUGCUGAAUACUAAUGUCAAUGUACAAAACACUAAAAUGGGAAAAGACAUUAUUAAGCAUAGACCAUCUACUAAAAGGGUGCUUGUUGUUCUUGAUGAUGUGGAUCAAGAUAUACAAUUGGAAACAUUGUGUCACCGUACUUGGUUUGGUCCUGGGAGUAGAAUCAUAUUAACAUCCAGAGAUGAACACUUGAUCAGUGCAUUUGGAGCAGAUAAAAUAUACAUGGUGAAUGCAUUAACUGAUCCUGAAGCUUUUGAUCUCUUUCGUUUGAAAGCCUUCAAUGAAGAUGAGACUGGAGAAGAUUUUCUCAAGCUAUCCUAUGAAUUUUUGAAAUGUGCUAAUGGCCUUCCAUUAGCUAUUAAAGUUUUGGGAUCGUCUGUUCGUGGCAGAAGUUUAAACUUAUGGUCAAGUGCAUUGAAGAGACUUGAAAAAAAUCCUCCAAAAGGAAUUAUUGAUGUUCUUAAAGUCAGUUUUGAUGGAUUAGAAGAAACAAAAAAGAAAACCUUUUUAGACAUCGCGUGUUUCUUUAAAGGAUUGAACAAGGAUUGUGUAAUAAGAAUACUAAAUGGUUGUGACGAUGACGGUGUGGAGAUGGAUGUACAUGUUCUUAUUGAUAGAUCUUUGGUAACUCUAUUUGGAACAAAAUUGUGGAUGCAUGAUUUGAUACAAGAAAUGGGUCGGGAAGUUGUUCUUCAAGAAUGCCGUGAAGAGCCUGGAAAACGUAGCAGGUUGUGGCUUCCCAAAGAAAUCAUCCAUGUACUUGCUCGGGGUAAGGUAAUGAAAGAUCUGUGUGCUGAAACUCAUCUAUUGUUCUUUUACUAUGGUGUUUCUUGUGCAACAAGUAAUUCUUUGAUUUUUGUUGUGAGGUGACCAGUGCAGUUGAAAGCAUAUUCCUGGUAUGUCCAACAGGAGAUGAUGUUGUUCAUUCAAUUGAUACUGCCUUCUCAAAAAUGGACAGAUUGAGAUUGCUCAGGAUUAAUAAUGUGAAGUUUUCUGGAAUCAUCAAGUAUCUUUCUAAUGAGUUACAGUAUCUUGAAUGGCAUGAGUGUCCUUUGGAUUCUUUCCGGUCAGACUUUCAACCGGAGGAACUUGUUGAAGUUCACUUGCUGUUUAGCCACAUCAAACAACUAUGGAGGGGGAAAAAAGUAAGAUCAUAAUAAUUUUAUGCAUGUUCACAAAGCUGAUAUUUUAGAUUCUAAUCUCAUAUAUUAGGAAAGAUGAAGUGGCUUUCUUUGAAUUGCAUAACCAUAAAAGGUCCCUAGUCGCCCUCAGUUAGACACAUCCUUGAGAGUUAAUAUGGCAUUCUUGAUUUCAUAAAGAAUAUGUCAUUCUCAUACUAAGAUUGGACAUUAGUCAUGUUACUCUUACGUCAACCUUUAUGUAAUUUUACUAAUUUCUGUAAUUUGAAAUCACAAAGGAAUGUGUAAUGAAUAUUUCAAAUCACGUGAUGAUCAUCUUUGAAAUUAUAUCAGGGGUGGAGCAUGCUGCGGCAUUUAGAUCUGAGUGGUUCACCAUACUUGAUAUCGACUCCGGACUUCACUGAUGUUCCUGAUCUAUAAGUGUUGGCGCUUCAGCGUUGUACAAGUUUGGUGGAGGUUCACCCAUCUCUUGGAUUUCUGAAGAAACUUAGAUGUUUGUAUAUGGAAAGUUGCACGUCUAUUGAGAGCCUUCCACCUUUUACUACCUUGGAAUCCCUUCAAAUAUUGAGGCUUUCAGGCUGUUCAGGACUGAUGAAGUUUCCAGAAAUUGAAGGAAAUAUGAAAAGUUUACUGGAGCUUCAUGUGGCUGGGAUGCCUCAAUCAAUUGAACACUUCACUGGUCUUACCAUGUUGAAUCUAACAGACUGUAAAAAUCUUUUGCGUCUUCCGAAAAUAACAUUGAGUGCUUGACAUCUUUGAAAAUUCUCGGUCUAACUGGUUGCUCCAAAAUUGAUGAGAUACCAGAGAAUAUGAAUGGUAUGAAAAGUCUGGAGACGCUUUGCAUUGGGGGAACUUCCAUAAGGGAAUUAUCUAUCGUCGCAGGCAUAAAAAAUCUUCGGUAUCUAUCCUGCCAAGGAUGUAUAUGUCUAGUUUCAGAAUCAUGCAAAGAUCUGGCCUCGUUAUCGAAAUUGAUAGAGCUAGACUUGAGUUAUUGCAAUCUGAUGGAUGGAGAAUUUCUCAAUGAUUUUAGCAGCCUAAUUUCCUUAACAUCGUUACAUUUAAGUGGUAAUUGCUUUGUGCGGUUGCCUGAAAGUAUCUCUCACCUCUCAAAGCUGGAAACUCUGCACUUGAGUAAUUGCAGACAGCUUCAAUUGCUGCCUAAGAAGUUUCCGUUAAGUCUUCGUCACGUGUAUGCACAAGAAUGUUCUUCGCUGUCGGAUUACCCAAAUCAAAUCUAAGUAUUGAAUUCAUCGGGGUCAGGAGUGACUAUUAUCAAUUCCCUUGAUUCUGCAGCGCCUGAAGUCUCACAAAGUUUCAGAAGCUUAAUUUUUCCAAUAAAUGCAGGGGAAUCGAUACAACUGCGUGUGACACAUAAGCAUAGAGAGGGGAAACAAGUUGAUCAUGUGCCACUGACAACUCUGAAACAAGUAGUAUCUCUCUCGCACUCUCAACUAUAUUGGUUUAAGUGCACCUCUGGUACUUUGAAUCCUCUCUAUUUCAUACUUCUAAUUGACGAUGCUUUUGUGUUCUAAGUUGCAGGUGCCUUUGCUCUCAACUUCGGAUGUCAAGAGCAUGCUUGCUAGAGAUGAAAUUUCAGAGUGGUUCACCACUGUAUCUACCAGAAAUUCCAUAUCAAUUCCGAUGCCUCAAAAUCAAGCCGAUGAUAAUAAGUGGAAGGGAAUUGCCGCGUGUGCAAUAUUCGCAGUCAAGGGGCAUAUUGCUCUCUCCCUUAUUGAACCAGAUCCAAAUUUUCUUAAUUACUCGUAUCAAAUCACAUGGGAAACUGAUGACGUGCUUCUUGAACCAGAUGUGUUGGAACUGGAUUCAGCAGAAUUAGGCCGCUUUGGAUUAAGCUCUCAUCUGCUUGUGAUAUUUUCUAUAUCUAGAUCGGUGUUUCCACCGAGGGAGUUAAUUCAAUCAACUGUGGUGAGAGCUAAAUUUGAAACCACUAAUCCAUCCAUGGUGGUCCAGAAAUGUGGAAUGCGUCUAGUCUAUGACCAAGAUGUUGGAUGGUUUACCAGAGUGACUGAGCACGAUGUGAUUUGUCUGGAUCAAGUUGAGAUAAGCACACCACUAGGGGAGGCUCACUGGCUUUGUCAAUCUUUGGAAUGGUAGAAUAUAUUCUAUCUUGUUGCUUAAGUUGGUAAAAAAUGGAAGUAGAGUGUGAAUUGUAAAAGUGGAAGUGUGAAUUUUACUUCCCUCAAUUUUUCGGUCCACAGCUAGUUAAAUUACGCUUUGUGUUUCCCCGUUCGUAAUUUUAAUGUUUAUCCAACAAAUAUUGCAGGGAGAAAAUCAUUCCACCCUUGGAAGAAGAAACCACAGUACUUGUGCUGAGAAAGGACCUCGAGUCUGUUCUUCCAAGAUACCUUGAGUUCAAUCCCUCUGUACUUCUCUCUAGCUAGUUUACAUGAUAUCUCUGAAAUCUCUAAUCUCAAUCUUUGAAACGAAAGAGGUUACUAAUUAUUUUAAUUGCGCAUUUUCAAUAUUACAGGCAUUGAACUGUUAUCCUAAGAUGUUCAAAUUUAACCUCGGAGGAAGUCCAGGGUGGUUUCGUGAGGGGCUUUUCAUGUGGUCAAAUUCAGCCGUAAUGCCAAUGGAGCUGCCUGAAAAUCUACACAAGAGCAAGAAGUGGAUGGGACUGGCAAUAUUCGCAUCACUUGUAGAGGAAGUGGGGCAGACAAUGAAGGAGGACAACUUAGUACAGCCAUCGGGAUAUGAUGCAACUUGGUUCUAUUAUAGACCGUGCACUGCAGCUCGUAAAGAGGUUUGGAGGCAAUGCAAGUUGGCCAGGAUUACUGUGUGGUUGUCUACUCCACGCUUAGCAGUGCAGGGUUGUGCCCUUCGUCUACUAUUCAAGGAGGACGUUGAACAUCUUGUAGAAUCACUGACCCUCGCAGGAUAUUUUUGAACAUCUCCCAGCUGCCCAGUAUCUGCUGCUCAAUCAUGGAGAAGGUAACUUAAUUUUGAGUAGCCUUCCGGCUUAGAUUAAUCUUGUAAGUCACAAUAACUUCUCAUUUGGCUUGGCUGAAGUUCCGAUAUAUAUAUUUGUAUUGACAGAAGGCAAGGUCUGCAAGCAACAGUUCCUAAUGGAGAAUGAGAUAAAAGCGUUGUGUGAUAUUUUCUCAAGCUCAAUGAUAUCUAGUUUUGUCGUGCUCGUCUGUUUUCUCUGUUUUGGUCUUCCUGGUCUCUUGCCUCCAUUGCCGCUGCCCUCCUUUCCUCUUUUUGCUCCACCUUCCGACCUUUGCUUUUCCUCCACCCUCUUAAUCUUUUCUCUGUCCACAGUACCAAACAACCUUAUUUGCCUUGUCCGCAACUCAAUUUCAUCUUCAACCACUAUCACCCUUCCACAAAUUUCCAUACAGGAGUUACGUUUCGUUUUUGAUAAACUCUUCCACCCGUGGUUUGUUUGGCUAUGCACCUGCUGUGUUCUUUGGCGAUGCAAGUUCGCUGCAGUGCUGGUUUAUUUUGACGCCUUUGGUGUUGCUCUUGCAGCUAUGAUAGGCUCUUGUGCGUUGUACUGUUUGUUCUUGCUCAUGUUUGUGCCCUUGUGCCAUAUUUCUUUCUUUAAUGAAAACUUCUUUGUUUAUAAACUCAAAUUGCAAGUUUCUUCAAAUUGUUCAUAAUGAAAUGUCUCGGCGGAUCUCAGUACCUCAAUCACAUAGAUAAAGCAAUCCACUAUAAAUCCUUGUGUUAUUUGUGGUUUGUUUAUUGGUUGCUUUCUUUAGCUUUUUUUUUUUUUUUUUGUACCUAGGAAGCUUACAAUGAUAUAUUGUUUGUUACACUACCUCACAAGUCACAACAUGUGUUGAAGAUCAUCAAUUUCCUCCUGCCUAGCUUGUUCGAUUUCUAGCUGCAGAUCUGUGUUUUGAAGGCUCAAUAUCGUCACAGUCAUCGGCUACACAUGUAAAGCCAGAGUAGAGCUUUUGAUGGACAUUACAGCAAAGUAGCGCCAUCGAAAUCAUCACCCAAGUUGACAACUUAGGCAACGAAAGGAAAAUUGAACAUUUUGAGGUGUAUUCCAAGUCUUAUGAAGCCUAAUUGAGGUAGAGUAUUGUUUGAUAGGGAAAAUGGCCUCCAGGUGUCCAGGGGUAAGGCACAAGCAACUUAGUAUUGUCACAUUCAGGAGCAUAACCAGGUGAUGAGGUUGAACCUGUUGCUUGUUACUUUGUAUGAAACAAAAACACAUUCCCUGCCAUUUUUAUUAGGAAAACCAGAUUUCCAGAACGUAGUAGCAAACCAUCACAAUUACAUAGGAUCCGAUAAUAAACACAUAAAAUGUUUAAAUUACAGGCAUAUACCUGAAAAACAAUAACAUAGCAUCUAAUGCAAACGACGUGUCGCUCCUUAAGGAGAGGUUAUAGAUCGAGAUGACGUGUCGCUCCUUAAGGAGACGUUAUAGAUCGAGAUGACGAAGAACACGGAGAGGACGACCCAGAAUGACUUCAAAGUCUUCGAACCGUGUCCCGUCGCUGCAACUACUUUUCUCGUUCAUGAAUUGGUUGACGCGUUGAAGGUGCCAAAAUUCACAGACACGCAAACGUUUAAAAGUCUGGGCAGACUGCUCCUGCGAAUCACAGUUGCCCAAAUUGAGGUCUUGCAUGCUCAGAUUUCUCACACAGUUCGAACAAGUGAUGGCCUCCUACCCAGUCCGCCUUGUCCUCUUGUCUUGUAUUUGCCCUCUGGUUUUCUUCUCUGCUUUGUUUCUCUUCAGCUUUAUCUCUUCCGGGUUGUACCUCUUCUUCUUCUUCUCCAUUGUUUCUAUUUGCUGCUGCCUUUUGGCUUUCACUCUUUCCCAUAAACAGACACCCGCAACACCAGACACUUCUGCUUCAGCUACCACCAACACAGAAGUGAUUCCUUCUUCUUCGUCGUCGUCUUCUUCUCCACGGUCCGGUAAACUCACCUACGAUGUGUUCCUGAGUUUCAGAGGUGAAGAUACCCGCAAGAAUUUCACGGACCAUCUCUACACUGCUCUCUGGCAGAAAGGGAUACACACGUUUCGAGAUGAUGAAGAGCUUGUGAGGGGGGAAUCGAUUGCUCCCAAUCUNNNNNNNNNNNNNNNNNNNNAUGUGGAUCAAUAUAAACAAUUGGAAACAUUGUGUCACCGUACUUGGUUUGGUCCGGGUAGUAGAAUCAUCAUAACAUCCAGAGAUGAACACUUGAUCAGUGCAUUUGGAGCAGAUAAAGUAUACAUGGUGAAUGCAUUAACUGAUACUGAAGCUUUUGAUCUCUUUUGUUUGAAAGCCUUCAAUGAAGACGAGAUUGGAGAAGAUUUUCUUAAGCUAUCCAAUGAAUUUUUGAAAUAUGCUAAUGGCCUUCCAUUAGCUAUUAAAGUUUUGGGAUCAUCUGUUCGUGGUAGAAAUGUAAAGUUAAUGUCAAGUGCAUUGAAGAGGCUUGAAAAAAAUCCUCCAAAAGGAAUUAUUGAUGUUCUUAAAGUUAGUUAUGAUGGAUUAGAAGAAACAGAAAAGAAAACUUUUUUAGACAUCACGUGUUUCUUUAAAGGAGUGAACAAGGAUCGUGUAAUAAGAAUACUAGAUGGUUGUGAUGAUGCCGGCGUGGAGAUGGAUGUACAAGUUCUUAUUGACAGAUCUUUGGUAACUCUAUUCGGAACAAAAUUGUGG